CCUACGGGUGGCAGCAGUGGGGAAUAUUGCACUAUGGGGGAAACCCUGAUGCAGCGACGCCGCGUGAGUGAAGAAGUAAUUCGUUAUGUAAAGCUCUAUCAGCAGGGAAGAAAAUGACGGUACCUGAGUAAGAAGCCCCGGCUAACUACGUGCCAGCAGCCGCGGUAAUAAGUAGGGGGCAAGCGUUAUCCGGAUUUACUGGGUGUAAAGGGAGCGUAGACGGCAGUGCAAGUCUGGAGUGAAAGGCGGGGGCGCAACCCCCGGACUGCUGUGGAAACUGUACGGCUGGAGGGCAGGAGAGGUAAGUGGAAUUCCUAGUGUAGCGGGGAAAUGCGUAGAUAUUAGGAGGAACACCAGUGGCGAAGGCGGCUUACUGGACUGUAACUGACGUUGAGGCUCGAAAGCGUGGGGAGCAAACAGGAUUAGAUACCCUUGUAGUC
RNAcentral lists this ribosomal RNA (440 nucleotides) under uncultured bacterium. Its description in RNAcentral is "partial 16S ribosomal RNA". It matches the Rfam family "Bacterial small subunit ribosomal RNA", at positions 338 to 795 of the family's 1533-position model. The record is from RNAcentral.